RNAcentral lists this ribosomal RNA (493 nucleotides) under uncultured bacterium. RNAcentral's name for it is "partial 16S ribosomal RNA". It matches the Rfam family "Bacterial small subunit ribosomal RNA", at positions 27 to 507 of the family's 1533-position model. The record is from RNAcentral.
GAGUGAACGCUGGCGGUAGGCCUAACACAUGCAAGUCGAACGGCAGCACAGUAAGAGCUUGCUCUUACGGGUGGCGAGUGGCGGACGGGUGAGGAAUACAUCGGAAUCUACUUUUUCGUGGGGGAUAACGUAGGGAAACUUACGCUAAUACCGCAUACGACCUACGGGUGAAAGCAGGGGAUCUUCGGACCUUGCGCGAUUGAAUGAGCCGAUGUCGGAUUAGCUAGUUGGCGGGGUAAAGGCCCACCAAGGCGACGAUCCGUAGCUGGUCUGAGAGGAUGAUCAGCCACACUGGAACUGAGACACGGUCCAGACUCCUACGGGAGGCAGCAGUGGGGAAUAUUGGACAAUGGGCGCAAGCCUGAUCCAGCCAUGCCGCGUGGGUGAAGAAGGCCUUCGGGUUGUAAAGCCCUUUUGUUGGGAAAGAAAAGCAGCAGGUUAAUACCCCGCUGUUCUGACGGUACCCAAAGAAUAAGCACCGGCUAACUUCGUG